This 483-nucleotide ribosomal RNA is filed under the name uncultured bacterium. Its description in RNAcentral is "partial 16S ribosomal RNA". It matches the Rfam family "Bacterial small subunit ribosomal RNA", at positions 28 to 506 of the family's 1533-position model. The record is from RNAcentral.
AUUGAACGCUGGCGGCAUGCUUUACACAUGCAAGUCGAACGGCAGCGCGGGCUUCGGCCUGGCGGCGAGUGGCGAACGGGUGAGUAAUGCAUCGGAACGUGCCCAGUAGUGGGGGAUAGCCCGGCGAAAGCCGGAUUAAUACCGCAUACGACCUGAGGGUGAAAGCGGGGGACCGAAAGGCCUCGCGCUAUUGGAGCGGCCGAUGUCGGAUCAGCUAGUUGGUGGGGUAAAGGCUUACCAAGGCGACGAUCCGUAGCUGGUCUGAGAGGACGACCAGCCACACUGGGACUGAGACACGGCCCAGACUCCUACGGGAGGCAGCAGUGGGGAAUUUUGGACAAUGGGGGCAACCCUGAUCCAGCCAUGCCGCGUGCGGGAAGAAGGCCUUCGGGUUGUAAACCGCUUUUGUUCGGGAAGAAAUCCUCUGGGCUAAUACCCCGGGGGGAUGACGGUACCGGAAGAAUAAGCACCGGCUAACUACGU